AUGACUACCGCCACGGUGGCGACAGAACCGCGCAAUGCCGCCCUAGAUGGCAAGCACACGACUCCACAGCCGACAGGGACGCCGGAGCACGGUGAAUCGGCCGUAGUCUCGACGAAACUCGAUCGGAAAUUGACCAAAAAGGAAGGGGGCGCAAAAUCGCAGGCAGGAAAUGUGAGCACGGGAGGGAGUCUUACCUUCAAUCUGCGGCUCUCCGGCGACGACGCUCCGGUCCGGCGAGCCCCACCAACGGCCGCGAAUGCGGUCGACUCUUCCGCCGCCGCCACCGUCGCGUUCUCCUCUCGGUUUCUCCUCGCAAUCGACUGCAACUGCACCUACGGGGCCAACCUUGAGCUGCUAUCCGCCGCGCUCCGCAAGAACGCCUCGUCCGCCCUCUUCACCAAGGGCUCCGUCGGCGCUGCCCCGGACACCGUCUACGGCAUCGGGCUCUGCCGCGGCGACGUGUCCGCCUGCGGCGACUGCAUCGGCGCCGCGUUCGGCGACGCGCAGCAGCUGUGCGCGUUGAACAAGGACGCUCGUGUCCUGCACGAGACCUGCGUCCUCAGCUACUCCAGCCAUGACUUCGCCUCAUACGGCCGUGAUGCCACCGAAAGUUUACUAGUGGUCGUCUGGCCCGACGACGUCAAAGUCAAGCCCAUGCAUGCUGGCAACGGCGAGAGCGUCGUCAGUGACAUGAUCGACGAGACUGCCAUGAUGGCGGCGUACAGCUUGACAACGGCGAGCUACGCCACCGGCCGCGUCGAUGUCAACAGCACCGGCGCCUCACCGGCGUCGAUCUACUCUUUGGCGCAGUGCAACCCAGACCUGCCGCCUGAUGACUGCUGGGACUGCCUCGACGGCAUCAAGAAGAUGUUCGUUGGGAGAUACUGUAGCUGUGGCUCCGUCGUCAGCCGGCAAGGUGCAUGGGUUGUCGGUGUGUGGUGCAAUUUCAGGUACGCUACUCACCAGUUCUACCAAGGCCAGCCCAUGUAUAUGAAAAGCAUUGGAUCGGGUGUUGGACGAAACGUAAGGAACACGACCACACACACGACGCCGUCGCCGGCGCCUGCCGUUCUGCCAAGCCAGAUAUACAAGAACGACAGAUCGGUUCUCCCUAGAACCCAGAUAGCUGGCACCCACGUUGCCAAUGAGGCGAAACUGAAACAGAACUUGCAAGCCCAGACCACACUACGCAGGAGCACCCUCGUCGUCUCCGGCUCAGUCAUACACUCGGACGAGAGCUGCCGGCCGAAGUUACAGAAGCAUUGGGACAACAUUAAGAGAUAUCACCAAACAGGGGCAAAAAGCAGGACUUGCCGGAGCACACGGCUCCCACCAAACUGGCGUACCGUUGUCGCCGCAGAGGGGAACCUGAUCCCCUCUCGCCCAGGAACGAGGGCGUCGAUCCGCCGGCGAUCUUGGCAGGGACACUCCAUACUAGCAGCCCAUGAAAAGAUGCCGACAAGAAAGAUCAAGUUGGCGCCCGCCGCCCCCACACCCACCACCACUCACUUGCCACCCCUGCGAUCCCCGGACGAAGCCUCCAAGAAGGAACACGACAAAUAG
RNAcentral lists this ribosomal RNA (1563 nucleotides) under Triticum aestivum (bread wheat). Its description in RNAcentral is "partial small subunit ribosomal RNA". The record is from RNAcentral. Lineage: Eukaryota; Viridiplantae; Streptophyta; Magnoliopsida; Poales; Poaceae.